RNAcentral lists this ribosomal RNA (478 nucleotides) under uncultured bacterium. RNAcentral describes it as "bacterial SSU rRNA". It matches the Rfam family "Bacterial small subunit ribosomal RNA", at positions 364 to 832 of the family's 1533-position model. The record is from RNAcentral.
UUUCGCAAUGCCCGAAAGGGUGACGAAGCGACGCCGCGUGGGUGAGGAAGGCCUUCGGGUUGUAAAGCCCUGUCAGGAGUUAAGAAAUGUAGGUGCGCUAAUAUCGUGCCUAUUUGACAAAGGCUCCAAAGGAAGCCACGGCUAACUCUGUGCCAGCAGCCGCGGUAAUACAGAGGUGGCAAGCGUUGUUCGGAAUUAUUGGGCGUAAAGAGCACGUAGGUGGAUUUGUAAGUCAGAUGUGAAAGCCUUCUGUUCAACGGGAGAAUUGCAUCUGAAACUACAAACCUUGAGUAUAGGAGGGGAGAAUGGAACUUCUGGCGGAGCGGUGAAAUGCGUAGAUAUCAGAAGGAACGCCGGCGGCGAAAGCGAUUCUCUGGCCUAUUACUGACACUCAGUGUGCGAAAGCUAGGGGAGCAAACGGGAUUAGAUACCCCGGUAGUCCUAGCCGUAAACGAUGGGCACUAAGUAGAGGGGUUUU